This 465-nucleotide ribosomal RNA is filed under the name uncultured bacterium. RNAcentral describes it as "partial 16S ribosomal RNA". It matches the Rfam family "Bacterial small subunit ribosomal RNA", at positions 338 to 795 of the family's 1533-position model. The record is from RNAcentral.
CCUACGGGAGGCAGCAGUAGGGAAUCUUCCACAAUGGGCGAAAGCCUGAUGGAGCAACGCCGCGUGGGUGAAGAAGGUCUUCGGAUCGUAAAACCCUGUUGUUAGAGAAGAAAGUGCGUGAGAGUAACUGUUCACGUUUCGACGGUAUCUAACCAGAAAGCGACGGCUAACUACGUGCCAGCAGCCUCGGUAAUACGGAGGUGGCAAGCGUUAUCCGGAGUGAUUGGGCGUAAAGGGAACGCAGGCGGUCUUUUAAGUCAGAUGUGAAAGCCUUCGGCUUAACCGGAGUAGUGCAUUGGAAACUGUGAGACUUGAGGGCAGAAGAGGAUGGUGGAACUCCAUGUGUAGCGGUGAAAUGCGUAGAUAUAUGGAAGAACACCAGUGGCGAAAGCGGCUCUCUGGUCUGUAACUGACGCUGAGGUGCGAAAGCGUGGGUAGCAAACAGGAUUAGAUACCCUUGUAGUC